RNAcentral lists this long non-coding RNA (237 nucleotides) under Brachypodium distachyon (stiff brome). RNAcentral describes it as "long non-coding RNA (BDIS_LNC002111)". Lineage: Eukaryota; Viridiplantae; Streptophyta; Magnoliopsida; Poales; Poaceae. The record is from RNAcentral.
GGUUGCCGGGCGUGUCGGGCCUGGGUGCCUCCUGGGAAGCCACUUGCUGGGAGGAGGGGUUCCCGGGCGCAGUCUCCCGCCGGCACAAAGGUGGGGCCCAGCGGACGGAGCAACAGCGACACGCGGGCGCGUGGCGGGCGUCGGGUGCGCAAUCUCACCAGGGCGAGGAGUGAGGCGCACGGCGCAUUAAAUGAGCCGACAGGAGGGGCGUUACUCGUCCAAAUCAGGUGAACAGUG